UACCAGCUCUCCGAGUGGUGUGGAUGUUUAUUGGGCCUAAAGCAUCCGUAGCUGGCUGGACAAGUCCCCUGUUAAAUCCACCGAUUUAAUCGUUGGUGUGCGGGGGAUACUGUUCGGCUAGGGGACGGGAGAGGCCGACGGUAUUUCCGGGGUAGGGGUGAAAUCCUAUAAUCCCGGGAAGACCACCAGUGGCGAAGGCUGUCGGCUAGAACGCGCCCGACGGUGAGGGAUGAAAGCUGGGGGAGCGAACCGGAUUAGAUACCCGGGUAGUCCCAGCUGUAAACGAUGCAGGCUAGGUGUUUGGGCGGCCACGUGCCGCCCUAGUGCCGCAAGGAAGCUGUUAAGCCUGCCGCCUGGGGAGUACGGCCGCAAGGCUGAAACUUAAGGAAUUGGCGGGGAGCACCACAAGGGGUGAAGCUUGCGGUUU
This 427-nucleotide ribosomal RNA is filed under the name uncultured archaeon. RNAcentral's name for it is "bacterial SSU rRNA". It matches the Rfam family "Archaeal small subunit ribosomal RNA", at positions 474 to 903 of the family's 1478-position model. The record is from RNAcentral.